Non-coding RNA from Thalictrum thalictroides, 81 nucleotides. NCBI's taxonomy places the organism in Eukaryota, Viridiplantae, Streptophyta, Magnoliopsida, Ranunculales, Ranunculaceae. The record is from the annotation of a GenBank genome assembly.
GUUUUGGUUGACAGAAAGCAAAUCUAUGUAUUAUUGUAUUUGCAAAAUGUCGAAACUUUAUGAACUAGGACGGUCUGAGGC